This 253-nucleotide ribosomal RNA is filed under the name uncultured bacterium. RNAcentral describes it as "partial 16S ribosomal RNA". It matches the Rfam family "Bacterial small subunit ribosomal RNA", at positions 524 to 776 of the family's 1533-position model. The record is from RNAcentral.
UACGAAGGGGGCUAGCGUUGCUCGGAAUUACUGGGCGUAAAGGGCGCGUAGGCGGAUAGUUAAGUCAGAGGUGAAAGCCCAGGGCUCAACCUUGGAAUUGCCUUUGAUACUGGCUAUCUUGAGUUCGGGAGAGGUGAGUGGAAUUCCGAGUGUAGAGGUGAAAUUCGUAGAUAUUCGGAGGAACACCAGUGGCGAAGGCGGCUCACUGGUCCGGUACUGACGCUGAGGUGCGAAAGCGUGGGGAGCGAACAGG